This 42-nucleotide non-coding RNA is filed under the name Schistosoma bovis. RNAcentral also lists the same sequence under 1 other name. The record is from RNAcentral. Lineage: Eukaryota; Metazoa; Platyhelminthes; Trematoda; Strigeidida; Schistosomatidae.
AUUCACACGAGUUCGAAAUAGGACGAAACGCGCGUCCGGGAU